GCCGGCCUGGCUGAGUGCGGCCGCCCGCUUCAUCCUGGAGGCGCCGGUCGGCACCGAGGCCGUGGUGGUCCCGGACCGCCGGCCGGCC
RNAcentral lists this transfer RNA (88 nucleotides) under Paractinoplanes toevensis. RNAcentral's name for it is "Actinoplanes toevensis tRNA-Sec". Lineage: Bacteria; Bacillati; Actinomycetota; Actinomycetes; Micromonosporales; Micromonosporaceae. The record is from RNAcentral.